Molecule: ribosomal RNA, 497 nt
Filed under: uncultured bacterium
Lineage: Bacteria
Description: partial 16S ribosomal RNA
Rfam family: Bacterial small subunit ribosomal RNA
Source: RNAcentral
GAUGAACGCUGGCGGCGUGCCUAAUACAUGCAAGUCGAGCGAACAGAUGAGGAGCUUGCUCCUCUGACGUUAGCGGCGGACGGGUGAGUAACACGUGGAUAACCUACCUAUAAGACUGGGAUAACUUCGGGAAACCGGAGCUAAUACCGGAUAAUAUAUUGAACCGCAUGGUUCAAUAGUGAAAGACGGUUUUGCUGUCACUUAUAGAUGGAUCCGCGCCGCAUUAGCUAGUUGGUAAGGUAACGGCUUACCCAGGCAACGAUGCGUAGCCGACCUGAGAGGGUGAUCGGCCACACUGGAACUGAGACACGGUCCAGACUCCUACGGGAGGCAGCAGUAGGGAAUCUUCCGCAAUGGGCGAAAGCCUGACGGAGCAACGCCGCGUGAGUGAUGAAGGUCUUCGGAUCGUAAAACUCUGUUAUUGGGGAAGAACAAAUGUGUAAGUAACUAUGCAUGUCUUGACGGUACCUAAUCAGAAAGCCACGGCUAACUACGUG